RNAcentral lists this transfer RNA (75 nucleotides) under Candidatus Altimarinota bacterium. Its description in RNAcentral is "tRNA-Trp". It matches the Rfam family "tRNA". From Rfam's summary of the family: Transfer RNA (tRNA) molecules are approximately 80 nucleotides in length. Lineage: Bacteria; Candidatus Altimarinota. The record is from RNAcentral.
AGCCCUAUAGUUCAUCGGUUAGAAUUCAGGAUUCCAAAUCCUGCGAGGUCGGUUCGAUUCCAACUGGGGCUGCCA